ACGCUCGACACCUACGGGAGGCAGCAGUGGGGAAUAUUGCACAAUGGGGGAAACCCUGAUGCAGCGAUGCCGCGUGAAGGAAGAAGUAUCUCGGUAUGUAAACUUCUAUCAGCAGGGAANAAAAUGACGGUACCUGACUAAGAAGCCCCGGCUAACUACGUGCCACAGCCGCGGUAAUCUGAGCGGGCUGGCAAGGC
Molecule: ribosomal RNA, 197 nt
Filed under: uncultured bacterium
Lineage: Bacteria
Description: partial 16S ribosomal RNA
Rfam family: Bacterial small subunit ribosomal RNA
Source: RNAcentral